UUUCCGUAGGUGAACCUGCGGAAGGAUCAUUAAUGUGUUUGGGCCUCACGGCUCUUCAUUCCGUCGCUGUGCGCCUUCGGGCUGCACGCUGAGGGAGCAUAUAUCCACCCCUGUGCACACACACGGUGGCGAGCUGGGUAACGGCUCGCCGCUGAUCUUUACACACGUCUAAAAGUCAUUGUAUGUUUAUUUGAGAUAAAAACACAACUUUCAGCAACGGAUCUCUUGGCUCUC
This 234-nucleotide unclassified non-coding RNA is filed under the name plant metagenome. RNAcentral's name for it is "partial contains small subunit ribosomal RNA, internal transcribed spacer 1, and 5.8S ribosomal RNA". The record is from RNAcentral.